This 253-nucleotide ribosomal RNA is filed under the name uncultured bacterium. Its description in RNAcentral is "partial 16S ribosomal RNA". It matches the Rfam family "Bacterial small subunit ribosomal RNA", at positions 524 to 776 of the family's 1533-position model. The record is from RNAcentral.
UACAGGGGGGGCAAGCGUUGUUCGGAAUUACUGGGCGUAAAGGGCUCGUAGGUGGCCAACUAAGUCAGAUGUGAAAUCCCUCAGCUUAACUGGGGAACUGCGUCUGAUACUGGAUGGCUUGAGUUUGGGAGAGGGAUGCGGAAUUCCAGGUGUAGCGGUGAAAUGCGUAGAUAUCUGGAGGAACACCGGUGGCGAAGGCGGCAUCCUGGACCAGCACUGACACUGAGGAGCGAAAGCCAGGGGAGCAAACGGG